This is a long non-coding RNA of Helicoverpa armigera (cotton bollworm), 636 nucleotides long. RefSeq lists it as uncharacterized. The transcript is spliced from 2 exons. NCBI's taxonomy places the organism in Eukaryota, Metazoa, Arthropoda, Insecta, Lepidoptera, Noctuidae. The record is from RefSeq and is a predicted model, not a curated record.
AUGCAGUGAAGAAGCUCUUAAAAUUGACCCAUGACUAGCAAUCGCCAUUUUGUCCACUUCAAAAUGAAAUAUUGAAAAAGAAGGUUCAAAGGCAGAAUUGUAUCUUCUUUCACCUCAUUAUAACGCUGGCUUUUUGCUCUUCGUCGGUGACAUUUCCGUUUUGUCGGUUUUGUAACCAUUCGCCUUUCCUUAUUUUAUACAACUUUUUAUAUCGGCGAAAUGAUAUUUGUUGGAUAAAAUAUACAAUUUAAGUAGCCGUUACUUUAAAACGGCAAAAUAAAAUAAAAUGAAUCUAAACGAGCUCUUGAAAGAGUGUCCGCAACAUGCUUACUAUCCUAAUAACGAAUACUCUGAAGAACUAGGGCUGAUUGACUACGAGCCGACUGAGGCUCGUAGAGAAUGGACCUCCCAGACCACUAUAUGGAUGAUGGCGUUUGCUCUACUGCUGUGGUUGAUCACGUAUCUCAUGGUCAUGACCCUAACCAUGUGCUUCGACAUCAGUUUUCGGUCCAUGGCGAGUUUCACUGGCAUACAUUGGUACAAUGGAACUUUGUUAGCUAGCGAGGAUCAUUCAAGAUACAUUAUAGCUUAUUAAAUUGUGUUUUUAUCUAGUAAUAAAGAGUGCGUUUGGUGGUA